This 549-nucleotide unclassified non-coding RNA is filed under the name Candida tropicalis. RNAcentral describes it as "sequence contains 18S rRNA gene, ITS1, 5.8S rRNA gene, ITS2, 28S rRNA gene". The stretch from base 193 to 346 matches the Rfam family "5.8S ribosomal RNA". Lineage: Eukaryota; Fungi; Ascomycota; Pichiomycetes; Serinales; Debaryomycetaceae. The record is from RNAcentral.
GAAGUAAAAGUCGUAACAAGGUUUCCGUAGGUGAACCUGCGGAAGGAUCAUUACUGAUUUGCUUAAUUGCACCACAUGUGUUUUUUAUUGAACAAAUUUCUUUGGUGGCGGGAGCAAUCCUACCGCCAGAGGUUAUAACUAAACCAAACUUUUUAUUUACAGUCAAACUUGAUUUAUUAUUACAAUAGUCAAAACUUUCAACAACGGAUCUCUUGGUUCUCGCAUCGAUGAAGAACGCAGCGAAAUGCGAUACGUAAUAUGAAUUGCAGAUAUUCGUGAAUCAUCGAAUCUUUGAACGCACAUUGCGCCCUUUGGUAUUCCAAAGGGCAUGCCUGUUUGAGCGUCAUUUCUCCCUCAAACCCCCGGGUUUGGUGUUGAGCAAUACGCUAGGUUUGUUUGAAAGAAUUUAACGUGGAAACUUAUUUUAAGCGACUUAGGUUUAUCCAAAACGCUUAUUUUGCUAGUGGCCACCACAAUUUAUUUCAUAACUUUGACCUCAAAUCAGGUAGGACUACCCGCUGAACUUAAGCAUAUCAAUAAGCGGAGGAA